GAAAUGCGAUACGUAGUGUGAAUUGCAGAAUUCCGUGAACCAUCGAAUCUUUGAACGCAUAUUGCACUCGAGCCUUCGGGCAAGAGUAUGUCUGCUUCAGCGUCGGGUUAAUAUCACUCCCCACAUCCCUGUGGUGUGUUCAAUGAGUGGACCUGACUGUUCCAGGCCUGCAUUCGGAAUGUUUACAUUUCGAAAGCUUCCAGCCUGGAUCAGUUGAAGAACAGAGGCUAAUCUAAGGACCCGUUAAGGGCCGCAACUGGGUAGGCAGCUUAAUUGCUUGCUUUAUUCUUAGUUGCUGGCUUGGGACCCUAGGUUCAUGGCCCUCAACCAGGAAUCUUAACCCCUUAUUUUCUCGACCUGAGCUCAGGCAAGACCACCCGCUGAACUUAA
Molecule: unclassified non-coding RNA, 390 nt
Filed under: uncultured fungus
Lineage: Eukaryota; Fungi
Description: sequence contains ITS1
Rfam family: 5.8S ribosomal RNA (bases 1-105)
Source: RNAcentral